Molecule: ribosomal RNA, 677 nt
Filed under: uncultured bacterium
Lineage: Bacteria
Description: bacterial SSU rRNA
Rfam family: Bacterial small subunit ribosomal RNA
Source: RNAcentral
AGAGUUUGAUCAUGGCUCAGGACGAACGCUGGCGGCGUGCCUAAUACAUGCAAGUCGAGCGCGUGAAGCAAGACAGAUUCCUUCGGGAUGACGCCUUGUGGAUCGAGCGGCGGAUGGGUGAGUAACACGUGGGCAACCUGCCUGUAAGCCUGGGAUAACACAAGGAAACUUGUGCUAAUACCGGAUAAAGUUCUUUGCCUCCUGGCAAAGGAAUGAAAGGCGGCUUUUAGCUGUCACUUACAGAUGGGCCCGCGUCGCAUUAGCUAGUUGGUGAGGUAACGGCUCACCAAAGCCACGAUGCGUAGCCGACCUGAGAGGGUGAUCGGCCACACUGGGACUGAGACACGGCCCAGACUCCUACGGGAGGCAGCAGUAGGGAAUCUUCCGCAAUGGACGAAAGUCUGACGGAGCAACGCCGCGUGAGUGAUGAAGGUUUUCGGAUCGUAAAACUCUGUUGUAAGGGAAGAACAAGCCGUAUGCUAAUAUCAUGCGGCCUUGACGGUACCUGACGAGAAAGCCCCGGCUAACUACGUGCCAGCAGCCGCGGUAAUACGUAGGGGGCAAGCGUUGUCCGGAAUUAUUGGGCGUAAAGGGCUCGCAGGCGGUUACGAAAGUCUGAUGUGAAAUCUUAUGGCUUAACCAUAAGCGUGCAUUGGAAACUGCGUACUUGAGUACAG